Molecule: ribosomal RNA, 491 nt
Filed under: uncultured bacterium
Lineage: Bacteria
Description: partial 16S ribosomal RNA
Source: RNAcentral
GUAGUUAGCCGGGGCUUCCUCCUCAAGUACCGUCACUUCCUUCGUCCUUGAGGACAAAAGUUUACAAUCCGAAAACCUUCUUCCUUCACGCGGCGUUGCUGGGUCAGGCUUUCGCCCAUUGCCCAAUAUUCCCCACUGCUGCCUCCCGUAGGAGUCUGGACCGUCUCUCAGUUCCAGUGUGGCCGAUCACCCUCUCAGGUCGGCUACCCAUCGUUGCCUUGGUGGGCCUUUACCUCACCAACUAGCUAAUGGGACGCGAACUCACCCCAAACCGGAUUACUCCUUUUACCUCAACCCCAUGCGAGGUCGUGGUCUUAUGCGGUAUUAGCACCUGUUUCCAAGUGUUAUCCCCCUGUCUGGGACAGAUUGUUCACGCGUUCCUCACCCGUCCGCCGCUAACAGUAUCAACCGAAGCCAAUACUGUCCGCUCGACUUGCAUGUGUUAGGCACGCCGCCAGCGUCGUCCUCGAGCCACUGAUCAAACUACUCGA